RNAcentral lists this ribosomal RNA (231 nucleotides) under uncultured bacterium. Its description in RNAcentral is "partial 16S ribosomal RNA". It matches the Rfam family "Bacterial small subunit ribosomal RNA", at positions 89 to 334 of the family's 1533-position model. The record is from RNAcentral.
CGACGAGUGGCGGACGGGUGAGUAAUACAUAGGAAUCUGCCUUAUAGUGGGGGGACAACCUGGGGAAACCCAGGCUAAUACCGCAUACGCCCUUCGGGGGAAAGGCUUCGGCCGCUAUUAGAUGAGCCUAUGUCUGAUUAGCUUGUUGGUGGGGUAAUGGCCUACCAAGGCGACGAUCAGUAGCUGGUCUGAGAGGACGAUCAGCCACACUGGGACUGAGACACGGCCCAG